This 722-nucleotide ribosomal RNA is filed under the name uncultured bacterium. RNAcentral's name for it is "bacterial SSU rRNA". It matches the Rfam family "Bacterial small subunit ribosomal RNA", at positions 28 to 740 of the family's 1533-position model. The record is from RNAcentral.
AUUGAACGCUGGCGGAAUGCUUUACACAUGCAAGUCGAACGGCAGCACGGAGAGCUUGCUCUCUGGUGGCGAGUGGCGAACGGGUGAGUAAUAUAUCGGAACGUAUCCAAUAAUGGGGGAUAACGAGUCGAAAGAUUCGCUAAUACCGCAUACGCCCUACGGGGGAAAGCAGGGGAUCGUAAGACCUUGCGUUAAUGGAGCGGCCGAUAUCUGAUUAGCUUGUUGGUGAGGUAAAGGCUCACCAAGGCGACGAUCAGUAGCUGGUUUGAGAGAACGACCAGCCACACUGGAACUGAGACACGGUCCAGACUCCUACGGGAGGCAGCAGUGGGGAAUUUUGGACAAUGGGGGCAACCCUGAUCCAGCCAUUCCGCGUGAGUGAAGAAGGCCUUCGGGUUGUAAAGCUCUUUCGCAAGGGAAGAAAACUUAUGAUCGAAUAAAUCAUGAGGUUGACGGUACCUUGAUAAGAAGCACCGGCUAACUACGUGCCAGCAGCCGCGGUAAUACGUAGGGUGCGAGCGUUAAUCGGAAUUACUGGGCGUAAAGCGUGCGCAGGCGGUUUUGUAAGUCGGAUGUGAAAUGCCCCGGGCUCAACCUGGGAACUGCGUUCGAAACUGCAAGGCUAGAGUGUGUCAGAGGGGGGUAGAAUUCCACGUGUAGCAGUGAAAUGCGUAGAGAUGUGGAGGAAUACCAAUGGCGAAGGCAGCCCCCUGGGAUAACAC